RNAcentral lists this ribosomal RNA (743 nucleotides) under uncultured bacterium. RNAcentral describes it as "bacterial SSU rRNA". It matches the Rfam family "Bacterial small subunit ribosomal RNA", at positions 63 to 804 of the family's 1533-position model. The record is from RNAcentral.
CGAACGGGGUCUUAGUACGGAAGUUUUCGGAUGGAAGGAUUGAGACUUAGUGGCGGACGGGUGAGUAACGCGUGGGUAACCUGCCCUGUACAGGGGGAUAACAGUUGGAAACGGCUGCUAAAACCGCAUAACAUGGAGAUACCGCAUGAUAUUUCCAUCAAAUAUUUAUAGGUACAGGAUGGGCCCGCGUCUGAUUAGCCAGUUGGCAGGGUAAUGGCCUACCAAAGCGACGAUCAGUAGCCGGCUUGAGAGAGUGACCGGCCACAUUGGGACUGAGACACGGCCCAAACUCCUACGGGAGGCAGCAGUGGGGGAUAUUGCACAAUGGGGGAAACCCUGAUGCAGCGACGCCGCGUGAGUGAAGAAGUAUUUCGGUAUGUAAAGCUCUAUCGGCAGGGAAGAAAAAAAUGACAGUACCUGACUAAGAAGCCCCGGCUAACUACGUGCCAGCAGCCGCGGUAAUACGUAGGGGGCAAGCGUUAUCCGGAUUUACUGGGUGUAAAGGGAGCGUAGGCGGCCACGCAAGUCAGAAGUGAAAACCCGGGGCUCAACCCUGGGAGUGCUUUUGAAACUGUGCGGCUAGAGUGUCGGAGGGGUAAGUGGAAUUCCUAGUGUAGCGGUGAAAUGCGUAGAUAUUAGGAGGAACACCAGUGGCGAAGGCGGCUUACUGGACGAUGACUGACGCUGAGGCUCGAAAGCGUGGGGAGCAAACAGGAUUAGAUACCCUGGUAGUCCACGCCGUA